RNAcentral lists this ribosomal RNA (253 nucleotides) under uncultured bacterium. Its description in RNAcentral is "partial 16S ribosomal RNA". It matches the Rfam family "Bacterial small subunit ribosomal RNA", at positions 524 to 776 of the family's 1533-position model. The record is from RNAcentral.
UACGUAGGGAGCAAGCGUUGUCCGGAAUCAUUGGGCGUAAAGCGCGCGUAGGUGGCCCUGUAAGUCCGUUGUGAAAGUCAAAGGCUCAACCUUUGAAAGCCGAUGGAUACUGCAGGACUAGAGUACGGAAGAGGCGAGUGGAAUUCCUGGUGUAGCGGUGGAAUGCGCAGAUAUCAGGAGGAACACCGAUGGCGAAGGCAGUGUUCUGGGCCAGUACUGACGCUGAGGAGCGAAAGCGUGGGGAGCAAACAGG